This 1223-nucleotide ribosomal RNA is filed under the name metagenome. RNAcentral describes it as "bacterial LSU rRNA". It matches the Rfam family "Bacterial large subunit ribosomal RNA", at positions 1689 to 2925 of the family's 2925-position model. The record is from RNAcentral.
GCGAGGUAACUCUCUCUAAGGAACUCGGCAAAAUGGCCCCGUAACUUCGGGAGAAGGGGUGCCACCGCAAGGUGGUCGCAGUGAAGAGGCCCAGGCGACUGUUUACCAAAAACACAGGUCUCCGCUAAGUCGCAAGACGAUGUAUGGGGGCUGACGCCUGCCCAGUGCCGGAAGGUUAAGGGAGCUGGUCAGCGCAAGCGAAGCUAGCGACUGAAGCCCCGGUGAACGGCGGCCGUAACUAUAACGGUCCUAAGGUAGCGAAAUUCCUUGUCGGGUAAGUUCCGACCCGCACGAAGGGCGUAACGAUCUGGGCGCUGUCUCGGAGAGAGGCUCGGCGAAAUAGAAUUGUCUGUGAAGAUGCGGACUACGUGCACCCGGACAGAAAGACCCUAUGAAGCUUUACUGUAGCUUGGUAUUGUGCCCGGGCUCGCAAUGCGCAGGAUAGGUGGGAGGCUUUGAUCAUCGGCUUGCGGGUCGAUGUGAGCCAACGGUGAGAUACCACUCUUUGCGAGCUAGGGUUCUAACGGCCACCCGUCAUCCGGGGGCCGGACAGUACCUGGUGGGCAGUUUGACUGGGGCGGUCGCCUCCUAAAAGGUAACGGAGGCGCGCAAAGGUUUGCUCAGGCUGGUUGGAAAUCAGCCGACGAGUGUAAAAGCAGAAGCAAGCUUGACUGUGAGACCAACAAGUCGAACAGGGAGGAAACUCGGCUUUAGUGAUCCGACGGUUCUGAGUGGAAGGGCCGUCGCUCAACGGAUAAAAGUUACUCUAAGGAUAACAGGCUGAUCUCCCCCAAGAGUUCACAUCGACGGGGAGGUUUGGCACCUCGAUGUCGGCUCAUCGCAACCUGGGGCUGAAGUCGGUCCCAAGGGUUGGGCUGUUCGCCCAUUAAAGCGGUACGCGAGCUGGGUUCAGAACGUCGUGAGACAGUUCGGUCCAUAUCCGGUGCACGCGCAGGAAUAUUGAGAGGAUUUCUCCCUAGUACGAGAGGACCGGGAGGAACGCACCUCUGGUGUACCAGUUAUCGUGCCAACGGUAAACGCUGGGUAGCCAUGUGCGGAGUGGAUAACCGCUGAAAGCAUCUAAGUGGGAAGCCCACCUCAAGAUGAGUAUUCCCAUGGCGUAAGCCAGUAAGGUCACGGGAAGAACACCCGUUGAUAGGCUCUAUGUGGAAGCGCAGUAAUGCGUGAAGCAGAGGAGUACUAAUAGACCGAGGGCUUGACCG